RNAcentral lists this ribosomal RNA (253 nucleotides) under uncultured bacterium. RNAcentral's name for it is "partial 16S ribosomal RNA". It matches the Rfam family "Bacterial small subunit ribosomal RNA", at positions 524 to 776 of the family's 1533-position model. The record is from RNAcentral.
UACGGAGGGUGCGAGCGUUGUUCGGAAUUACUGGGCGUAAAGCGCGUGCAGGCGGCAGACUAAGUCCGGUGUGAAAGCCCGGGGCUCACCCCCGGAAGUGCGCUGGAAACUAGUCCGCUAGAGUACGGGAGAGGGAAGCGGAAUUCCUGGUGUAGCGGUGAAAUGCGUAGAUAUCAGGAGGAACACCGGCGGCGAAGGCGGCUUCCUGGACCGAUACUGACGCUGAGACGCGAAAGCGUGGGGAGCAAACAGG